This 460-nucleotide ribosomal RNA is filed under the name uncultured bacterium. Its description in RNAcentral is "partial 16S ribosomal RNA". It matches the Rfam family "Bacterial small subunit ribosomal RNA", at positions 338 to 795 of the family's 1533-position model. The record is from RNAcentral.
CCUACGGGUGGCAGCAGUGAGGAAUAUUGGUCAAUGGACGAAAGCCUGAACCAGCCAAGUAGCGUGAAGGAUGACUGCUCUAUGGGUUGUAAACUUCUUUUAUAUGGGAAUAAAGUAUGGUAUGCAUCCUCUCUUGUAUGUACCAUAUGAAUAAGGAUCGGCUAACUCCGUGCCAGCAGCCGCGGUAAUACGGAGGAUACGAGCGUUAUCCGGAUUUAUUGGGUUUAAAGGGUGCGUAGGUGGAUUGUUAAGUCAGCUGUGAAAGUUUGCGGCUCAACCGUAAAAUUGCAGUUGAAACUGGCAGGCUUGAGUACAGUAGAGGUAGGCGGAAUGCGUGGUGUAGCGGUGAAAUGCUUAGAUAUCACGCAGAACUCCGAUUGCGAAGGCAGCUCACUGGACUGUAACUGACGCUGAUGCUCGAAAGUGUGGGGAUCAAACAGGAUUAGAUACCCUAGUAGUC